Molecule: long non-coding RNA, 482 nt
Organism: Cygnus atratus (black swan)
Lineage: Eukaryota; Metazoa; Chordata; Aves; Anseriformes; Anatidae
Exons: 4
Source: RefSeq, a predicted model, not a curated record
AUGCAGUGCUGUUCUCAAGGUAAAAGGAAAGUGUGGGCUACAUUUCAGUCCCAUCAUGCCAGGAGAAUAAUGUAACGUGUUUUUUCUUUCUCUUGGAUGAGUGCUUUAAUUACUGAGCUAUUAAAUGAAUGACAAAUUGUGGCACAAGCCUUCACGAGGCUUGUGUCACAGGAAGUGGCUGUGAACACCAGCAAGUACUGUGGUGACAAAUUGGCAAGACAUGUUCCAGAAAACCCUUCCAGAAAAGCCCUCUGGGGAGACACAGGUCAGCCCACAAAUCUGAAACAAGACAGAAUUACAUAGAGUUGCUUGUAUGAGAAAAGACUGACCUCAUCAGACACCUACCACUAGGAAAGCCCUGGCUGCGAGUACCAGGGUACAGAAGGUGAAGGUGGGGAUGGAAAAGCAUAUCAAGCAAAAUGUGGAUAGAGUCAGCAGUAAAAGAAAAAAUGCAUGCUGUCCUCUACUGUGCAAAGCAAGCA